AGUGAACGCUGGCGGUAGGCCUAACACAUGCAAGUCGAACGGCAGCACAGGAGAGCUUGCUCUCUGGGUGGCGAGUGGCGGACGGGUGAGGAAUACAUCGGAAUCUACUUUUUCGUGGGGAUAACGUAGGGAAACUUACGCUAAUACCGCAUACGACCUACGGGUGAAAGCAGGGGAUCUUCGGCCCUUGCGCGAUUGAAUGAGCCGAUGUCGGGUUAGCUAGUUGGCGGGGUAAAGGCCCACUAAGGCGACGAUCCUUAGAUGGUCUGAGAGGAUGAUAAGCCACACUGGAACUGAGACACGGUCCAGACUCCUACGGGAGGCAGCAGUGGGAGAUAUUGGACAAGGGGCGCAAGCCUGAUCCAGCCAUACCGCGUGGGUGAAGAAGGCCUUCGGGUUGUAAAGCCCUUUUGUUGGGAAAGAAAGCCAGCUGGUUAAUACCCGGUUGGGAUGACGGUACCCAAAGAAUAAGCACCGGCUAACUUCGUGCCAGCCGCCGCUGUAA
This 505-nucleotide ribosomal RNA is filed under the name uncultured bacterium. Its description in RNAcentral is "partial 16S ribosomal RNA". It matches the Rfam family "Bacterial small subunit ribosomal RNA", at positions 29 to 523 of the family's 1533-position model. The record is from RNAcentral.